This 351-nucleotide ribosomal RNA is filed under the name Hemidactylus luqueorum. Its description in RNAcentral is "partial 12S ribosomal RNA". It matches the Rfam family "Bacterial small subunit ribosomal RNA", at positions 802 to 1366 of the family's 1533-position model. The record is from RNAcentral. Lineage: Eukaryota; Metazoa; Chordata; Lepidosauria; Squamata; Gekkonidae.
GUAAACCAAGGCCGCAACUUCCGCUGCCCGCCAGAGUACUACAAGUGAAAAACUUAAAACUCAAAGGACUUGACGGCAUUCCACAUCACACUAGAGGAGCCUGUCCUAUAAUCGAUAACCCACGUUUCACCUCACCUGUUCUUGCACCAGCCUAUAUACCGCCGUCCACAGCCCGCCUUACAAAAGCACAGCAGCGGGCCAACCAGAACACUAAAACAUCAGGUCAAGGUGUAGCUAACGUACAGGAAGAGAUGGGCUACAUUUUCUAACCAUAGAAAACCACCACCACCACCAUGAAACAGUGCACAAAGGAGGAUUUAGCAGUAAGCCGGACAAGACAGCCUGACUGAA